UACAGAGGUCUCAAGCGUUGUUCGGAUUCAUUGGGCGUAAAGGGUGCGUAGGCGGCGCGGUAAGUCGGGUGUGAAAUCUUGGAGCUUAACUCCGAAACUGCAUUCGAUACUGCCGUGCUUGAGGACUGGAGAGGAGACUGGAAUUUACGGUGUAGCGGUGAAAUGCGUAGAUAUCAGGAGGAACACCAAUUGCGAAGGCAGCUCGCUAAACUGACAUUGACGCUGAGGCACGAAAGCGUGGGGAGCAAACAGG
This 253-nucleotide ribosomal RNA is filed under the name uncultured bacterium. RNAcentral's name for it is "partial 16S ribosomal RNA". It matches the Rfam family "Bacterial small subunit ribosomal RNA", at positions 524 to 776 of the family's 1533-position model. The record is from RNAcentral.